GUUCCGUGAGAAAGAUGGCCGGGAACUCGAUCCUGCUGGCUGCUGUCUCUAUUCUCUCGGCCUGUCAGCAAAGUUAUUUUGCUUUGCAAGUUGGAAAGGCAAGAUUAAAAUACAAAGUUACGCCCCCAGCAGUCACUGGGUCACCAGAGUUUGAGAGAGUAUUUCGGGCACAACAAAACUGUGUGGAGUUUUAUCCUAUAUUCAUAAUUACAUUGUGGAUGGCUGGGUGGUAUUUCAACCAAGUUUUUGCUACUUGUCUGGGUCUGGUGUACAUAUAUGGCCGUCACCUAUACUUCUGGGGAUAUUCAGAAGCUGCUAAAAAACGGAUCACCGGUUUCCGACUGAGUCUGGGGAUUUUGGCCUUGUUGACCCUCCUAGGUGCCCUGGGAAUUGCAAACAGCUUUCUGGAUGAAUAUCUGGACCUCAAUAUUGCCAAGAAACUGAGGCGGCAAUUCUAACUUUUUCUCUUCCCUUUAAUACUUGCAGAAGCUGUUCCCACCAUGAAGUGGAGCCUCCCUACCUCCAGAUGAACUAGUUGGAAAUGGAAUUGUUAUGGUACUGAAUCUACAAAUGGAUUGCACUAUGUUCCAUGCAAAGUUGACUUUCCUCCCUUCCCUUUGCCACAUCCUUCAGAGUGCGGCAGUAAAUUCAGAAAGUAUCAUCAGUUGUGCAGUUGAAUGCAAAGGCUGGGAAUGAUUGAUCUCUCCCAUUAAAUAAAUGUUUAAAGAAUGAUAUCAAAAUUUUGAGAAAAGAACUGCAGUUAAUUAAAACCCAGGAAUAAUAUGUCUGCUUAAUUAAGAUUGGAGCUCCAGUGAGGAUCUUAAAAUAAACUAUACUUUGG
This 841-nucleotide long non-coding RNA is filed under the name Homo sapiens (human). RNAcentral's name for it is "long non-coding RNA NONHSAT199145.1". Lineage: Eukaryota; Metazoa; Chordata; Mammalia; Primates; Hominidae. The record is from RNAcentral.